This 255-nucleotide ribosomal RNA is filed under the name uncultured bacterium. Its description in RNAcentral is "partial small subunit ribosomal RNA". It matches the Rfam family "Bacterial small subunit ribosomal RNA", at positions 26 to 285 of the family's 1533-position model. The record is from RNAcentral.
AGGACGAACGCUGGCGGCGUGCUUAACACAUGCAAGUCGAGCGGAAAGGCCCUUCGGGGUACUCGAGCGGCGAACGGGUGAGUAACACGUGAGCAACCUGCCCCUGGCUCUGGGAUAGCCUUCGGAAACGGGGAUUAAUACCGGAUAUUCACUGCUUCCUGCAUGGGGGGUGGUGGAAAGUUUUUCGGCUAGGGAUGGACUCGCGGCCUAUCAGCUAGUUGGUGGGGUAAUGGCCUACCAAGGCGACGACGGGUA